Molecule: long non-coding RNA, 385 nt
Organism: Homo sapiens (human)
Lineage: Eukaryota; Metazoa; Chordata; Mammalia; Primates; Hominidae
Gene: R3HDML-AS1
Product: R3HDML antisense RNA 1
Source: Ensembl
GGGAGAAAAAGAAUCAGAGAUGCAGAGACCAAAACAAAAACAGGCAGAGAUAGAACGGACAGUAGACAAAAGAGAGAGAGACCGAGGCAGAGAUAGAGAAAAAAAGGCCCAGAGAGAGUCCCCUCAGGCCAACUUUGGUUUUCACUUCUCAGUUCUGAGAGCCGAGGAAGCAGGAAGGAGCUGUGAGAGACUGAGCUCUAACCUUGGCCAUCAAAGACAAGCUGUGCAGCUCUGGUUUUUUGAGGGCAGGACAUGGAGGGUCAGGCCCAGCUGGAGGCGCACCAAAGCCCAGAGAAAAUUCAGAACCACGUGAACUUGUUGGAUUUCAGCCCCUUGAAGCACAUGUUGCUAUUGCAGCUGCCUUGAUAACUGGGGGGACAGGAGG